RNAcentral lists this unclassified non-coding RNA (352 nucleotides) under soil metagenome. RNAcentral's name for it is "partial contains 5.8S ribosomal RNA, internal transcribed spacer 2, and large subunit ribosomal RNA". The stretch from base 1 to 120 matches the Rfam family "5.8S ribosomal RNA", at positions 35 to 154 of the family's 154-position model. The record is from RNAcentral.
GAUGAAGAACGUAGCGAAAUGCGAUAAGUAGUGUGAAUUGCAGAAUUCAGUGAAUCAUCGAAUCUUUGAACGCACAUUGCGCCUCCUGGUAUUCCGGGAGGCAUGCCUGUUCGAGCGUCAUUAAAAUCACUCAAGCUUAGGUUUACCUAUUGCUUGGUCUUGGAGAUGGAAGCCAAUUCAUUGGAAUCCUCUUCGAAAUCCAAUGGCGAAGACCCUUGCUCUCCCAAGUGUAGUAAUAACUUAUGUCACUGAAGGAAGCGAGAAAUCUUCCGCCGUAACCCCCAUAUUUUCUAUGAUUGACCUCGGAUCAGGUAGGGAUACCCGCUGAACUUAAGCAUAUCAAUAGCGGAGA